RNAcentral lists this ribosomal RNA (253 nucleotides) under uncultured bacterium. Its description in RNAcentral is "partial 16S ribosomal RNA". It matches the Rfam family "Bacterial small subunit ribosomal RNA", at positions 524 to 776 of the family's 1533-position model. The record is from RNAcentral.
UACGUAGGGGGCAAGCGUUGUCCGGAAUCAUUGGGCGUAGAGAGCGUGUAGGCGGCCCGGUAAGUCCGCUGUGAAAGUCCAGGGCUCAACCCUGGGAUGCCGGUGGAUACUGUCGGGCUCGAGUCCGGAAGAGGAGUGUGGAAUUCCUGGUGUAGCGGUGAAAUGCGCAGAUAUCAGGAGGAACACCAAUAGCGAAGGCAGCUCGCUGGGACGUUACUGACACUGAGGCGCGAAAGCGUGGGGAGCGAACAGG